RNAcentral lists this ribosomal RNA (776 nucleotides) under uncultured Neocallimastigales. RNAcentral's name for it is "partial large subunit ribosomal RNA". It matches the Rfam family "Eukaryotic large subunit ribosomal RNA", at positions 24 to 647 of the family's 3401-position model. Lineage: Eukaryota; Fungi; Neocallimastigomycota; Neocallimastigomycetes; Neocallimastigales. The record is from RNAcentral.
GUAGUCUCGCACAGAUGCAUAUCAAUAAGCGGAGGAAAAGAAACUAACUAGGAUUCCCCUAGUAACGGCGAGUGAAGCGGGAAGAGCUCAAAUUUGAAAUCUUAAAGGGUUUCCCUUUACGAAUUGUAGUUUAAAGAAGUGUUUUCUGUUGAGGUUUUGGUAAAAGUUCUUUGGAAUAGGACAUCAUAGAGGGUGAGAAUCCCGUAUUUGACCUUUACUUUCAACUUUGUGAUACACUUUCAAAGAGUCGGAUUGUUUGGGAAUGCAGUCCAAAAUGGGUGGUAAAUUUCAUCUAAAGCUAGAUAUUGGCGAGAGACCGAUAGCGAACAAGUACCGUGAGGGAAAGAUGAAAAGAACUUUGAAAAGAGAGUUAAACAGUACGUGAAAUUGUCAAAAGGGAAGCGUUUGACACCAGUGUUGUUUUUCUGAAAAUCAAUUAAAGAACUGUUUAUGCUAAGCUGUUUAGACUUUAUCAGCUAAUCUGUUUAGUUUUGAGCUUUUCUUUAAUGCACUUUUCAGUUAACAAGUCAACAUCAAUUUCUUUUGCUGUAAAAAAGCUUGAGGAAGGUGGCUUGAGAUUCGUCUUAAGUGUUUAUAGCCUCUUGCCUAUGCAGUCGGAGAGAUUGAGGUCUGCAGCGUAGAUCCUUCGGGGCUAAAUGCAUUUGUGCUAAGUUAUAAGCAUUUUAUAGACAACUUGUUGACUAUGAUUUGUCUUGUAGCUUACUCGCUUAUGUUAUUUUACCUACGCUUAGGAUGUUGACGCAUGAGAUAUACGC